RNAcentral lists this ribosomal RNA (1012 nucleotides) under Filobasidiales sp. LM20. Its description in RNAcentral is "eukaryotic LSU rRNA". The stretch from base 1 to 356 matches the Rfam family "Eukaryotic small subunit ribosomal RNA", at positions 1478 to 1831 of the family's 1831-position model. Lineage: Eukaryota; Fungi; Basidiomycota; Tremellomycetes; Filobasidiales. The record is from RNAcentral.
AGUUCUGGGCCGCACGCGCGCUACACUGACUGAGCCAGCGAGUUUAUAACCUUGACCGAAAGGCCUGGGUAAUCUUGUGAAACUCAGUCGUGCUGGGGAUAGAGCAUUGCAAUUAUUGCUCUUCAACGAGGAAUGCCUAGUAAGCGCAAGUCAUCAGCUUGCGUUGAUUACGUCCCUGCCCUUUGUACACACCGCCCGUCGCUACUACCGAUUGAAUGGCUUAGUGAGAUCUCCGGAUUGGCUUUGGGAAGCUGGCAACGGCUACCUAUUGCUGAGAAGCUGAUCAAACUUGGUCAUUUAGAGGAAGUAAAAGUCGUAACAAGGUUUCCGUAGGUGAACCUGCGGAAGGAUCAUUAAUGAUUAACUGUCUGUCGAGCUUGCUCACAGACUUAUCAUAUCCAUAACACCUGUGCACUUGUCGGAUGGCUUAGUGAAGACCGCAAGGUUGGAACUAUCCAUCUACUUUACAUAACAAUUUAGUAACAAAUGUAGUCUUAUUAUAACAUAAUAAAACUUUCAACAACGGAUCUCUUGGCUCUCGCAUCGAUGAAGAACGCAGCGAAAUGCGAUAAGUAAUGUGAAUUGCAGAAUUCAGUGAAUCAUCGAAUCUUUGAACGCACCUUGCGCUCCCUGGUAUUCCGGGGAGCAUGCCUGUUUGAGUGUCAUGAAAACCCUCAACCUUAGAUUGGUUAACACCUUUCUUUGGCUUGGAUUUGGACGUUUGCCGAUGAUAAGUCGGCUCGUCUUAAAAGUAAUAGCUGGAUCUGUCUCGCGACAUGGUUUGACUUGGCGUAAUAAGUAUUUCCUAAGGACAUCUUCGGAUGGGCGCGUUGCAAGACUAAAGACCGCUUUCUAAUCCAUUGAUCUUCGGAUUAAUAUUCUUGACAUCUGGGCCUCAAAUCAGGGAGGGACUACCCCCCUGGAACUUUAGCCUUAUCAUUAGCCGGAGGAAAAGAAACUAACAAGGGAUUCCCCUUAUAACCGCCAAUGGAACCGGGAAGAACUCCAAUUU